UGGGUGGAAGAGCUAUAUCCGGUCUUAUGGGCGUAUCGGAUAACUCUCCGCAUACCGACAGGAAAAUCUCCCUUCAAUUUAGCUUAUGGAAUAGAAGCAAUGAUAUCGCUCGAGAUCGGAUUGCCAUCAACAAGAGUCGAACAAUAUUGUGAACCGAGCAACUCUGAAUGUCGGAGAGCCGAUUUAGAUCUCCUUCCAGAACU
Molecule: long non-coding RNA, 203 nt
Filed under: Elaeis guineensis (African oil palm)
Lineage: Eukaryota; Viridiplantae; Streptophyta; Magnoliopsida; Arecales; Arecaceae
Description: long non-coding RNA (EGUI_LNC003879)
Source: RNAcentral